GGCUCGGGUGGGAGGCAGGGAAUUCCUGGCGUCGGCCUACGCGGAUGAUGUGCUCCUGGCGCUCACUGAUCCCGUCAACUCAAUGAGGGCCUUGCAGGGUGUCCUGGAGGCAUAUGGAGCUGUUUCAGGAUACAAAGCUAACAUGACCAAAUCCAGCGCCCUCCCCAUAGAGAUUCCGAUAGGGGACUUGACAGCUAUACAAAGGGCACACCAUCUCCGUAUUGAACGCCAGUCGAUCAAAUAUCUAGGCAUUAAACUGACAGCAGCCCCUGACCAACUUUAUUCACAGAACUAUACGCCACUUCUGAAACAGCUUAUCAGGGAACUAGAGACCUGGACCGAUAGACCCAUCUCCUGGAUAGGGAGGAUUCAUGCGGUCAAAAUGAAUAUCCUACCCAGGAUAUUAUUUUAUUUCCAGUCUCUGCCCAUUCAUGUCUCCAAGACACAGCUAGCGCCCUUGCAACAAGCAAUAGGGAACUUCGUGUGGCAAAACAAACGCCACAGGAUGUCGAGGCAUAUAUUGCACAGACCAAAAAACAGAGACGGGCUAGGCUUGCCUAACCUAUACGGAUACUACAUGGCGACACAACUGUCGCAAAUAGCAUUAUGGCAUUCACCACUCGGAGAGAGGAAAUGGGUGGACUUGGAGUCACUGAUGGUGGGGGCUGAUAUUCCACAGCUGCUUAUAUGGGUCCCCAAAGAACAUAGACCAAUCAUUAGAUCGACUUGCCCAGCUAUCCUAAAC
This is a non-coding RNA of Pelobates cultripes (western spadefoot toad), 745 nucleotides long. The record is from the annotation of a GenBank genome assembly. Lineage: Eukaryota; Metazoa; Chordata; Amphibia; Anura; Pelobatidae.